GGUCACACCCGUUCCCAUUCCGAACACGGCAGUUAAGCUCUUCAGCGCCGAUGGUAGUUGGGGGUUUCCCCCUGUGAGAGUAGGACGCCGCCAAGC
Molecule: ribosomal RNA, 96 nt
Filed under: Peribacillus simplex
Lineage: Bacteria; Bacillati; Bacillota; Bacilli; Caryophanales; Bacillaceae
Also listed under: 2 other names
Source: RNAcentral